CCUACGGGCGACAGCAGUGGGGAAUAUUGCGCAAUGGGCGAAAGCCUGACGCAGCGACGCCGCGUGAGGGAUGAAGGUCUUCGGAUCGUAAACCUCUGUCAGCAGGGAAGAACGGUCACUGUGCUAAUCAGCAGUGAAUUGACGGUACCUGCAAAGGAAGCACCGGCUAACUCCGUGCCAGCACCCGCGGUAAUACGGAGGGUGCGAGCGUUAAUCGGAAUUACUGGGGGUAAAGCGCUCGUAGGCGGUAUGUCAAGUCAAGGGGGAAAUCCCCGCGCUCAACGUGGGAACUGCCUUUGAAACUGGCAAACUGGAGUGUGUGAGAGGAUAGUGGAAUGCCAGGUGUAGGAGUGAAAUCCGUAGAUAUCUGGAGGAACAUCAGUGGCGAAGGCGACUAUCUGGCACAUAACUGACGCUGAGGAGCGAAAGCGUGGGUAGCAAACAGGAUUAGAUACCCUUGUAGUC
Molecule: ribosomal RNA, 465 nt
Filed under: uncultured bacterium
Lineage: Bacteria
Description: partial 16S ribosomal RNA
Rfam family: Bacterial small subunit ribosomal RNA
Source: RNAcentral